UACGUAGGGUGCAAGCGUUGUCCGGAAUUAUUGGGCGUAAAGGGCUCGUAGGCGGUCCAUCGCGUCGGGAGUGAAAAGCUGGGGCUCAACCCCAGUCCUGCUUUCGAUACGGGUGGACUAGAGGUAUGCAGGGGAGAACGGAAUUCCUAGUGUAGCGGUGAAAUGCGUAGAGAUUAGGAAGAACACCAGUGGCGAAGGCGACUUACUGGACCGUAACUGACGCUGAGGCAUGAAAGCGUGGGAAGCAAACAGG
Molecule: ribosomal RNA, 253 nt
Filed under: uncultured bacterium
Lineage: Bacteria
Description: partial 16S ribosomal RNA
Rfam family: Bacterial small subunit ribosomal RNA
Source: RNAcentral